GACGAACGCUGGCGGCGUGCUUAACACAUGCAAGUCGAACGGAAAGGCCCUGCUUUUGUGGGGUGCUCGAGUGGCGAACGGGUGAGUAACACGUGAGUAACCUGCCCUUGACUUUGGGAUAACUUCAGGAAACUGGGGCUAAUACCGGAUAGGAGCUCCUGCUGCAUGGUGGGGGUUGGAAAGUUUCGGCGGUUGGGGAUGGACUCGCGGCUUAUCAGCUUGGUGGUGGGGUAGUGGCUUACCAAGGCUUUGACGGGUAGCCGGGCUGAGAGGGUGACCGGCCACAUUGGGACUGAGAUACGGCCCAGACUCCUACGGGAGGCAGCAGUGGGGAAUAGUGCACAAUGGGCGGAAGCCUGAUGCAGCAACGCCGCGUGCGGGAUGACGGCCUUCGGGUUGUAAACCGCUUCCGCCUGUGACGAAGCGUGAGUGACGGUAAUGGGUAAAGAAGCACCGGCUAACUACGUG
This 468-nucleotide ribosomal RNA is filed under the name uncultured bacterium. RNAcentral's name for it is "partial 16S ribosomal RNA". It matches the Rfam family "Bacterial small subunit ribosomal RNA", at positions 28 to 507 of the family's 1533-position model. The record is from RNAcentral.